GAUGAACGCUGGCGGCGUGCCUAAUACAUGCAAGUCGAACGAAACUUCUUUAUCACCGCAUGCUUGCACUCACCGAUAAAGAGUUGAGUGGCGAACGGGUGAGUAACACGUGGGCAACCUGCCCAAAAGAGGGGGAUAACACUUGGAAACAGGUGCUAAUACCGCAUAACCAUAGUUACCGCAUGGUAACUAUGUAAAAGGUGGCUAUACUACCGCUUUUGGAUGGGCCCGCGGCGCAUUAGCUAGUUGGUAGGGUAAAGGCUUACCAAGGCAAUGAUGCGUAGCCGAAUUGAGAGGUUGAUCGGCCACAUUGGGACUGAGACACGGCCCAAACUCCUACGGGAGGCAGCAGUAGGGAAUCUUCCACAAUGGGCGAAAGCCUGAUGGAGCAACGCCGCGUGGGUGAAGAAGGUCUUCGGAUCGUAAAACCCUGUUGUUAGAGAAGAAAGUGCGUGAGAGUAACUGUUCACGUUUCGACGGUAUCUAACCAGAAAGCCACGGCUAACUACGUG
RNAcentral lists this ribosomal RNA (512 nucleotides) under uncultured bacterium. RNAcentral's name for it is "partial 16S ribosomal RNA". It matches the Rfam family "Bacterial small subunit ribosomal RNA", at positions 28 to 507 of the family's 1533-position model. The record is from RNAcentral.